AUUGAACGCUGGCGGAAUGCUUUACACAUGCAAGUCGAACGGCAGCAUAGGUGCUUGCACCUGAUGGCGAGUGGCGAACGGGUGAGUAAUACAUCGGAACGUGCCCAGUCGUGGGGGAUAACGUAGCGAAAGUUACGCUAAUACCGCAUACGAUCUAAGGAUGAAAGCGGGGGACCGUAAGGCCUCGCGCGAUUGGAGCGGCCGAUGUCAGAUUAGGUAGUUGGUGGGGUAAAGGCUCACCAAGCCAACGAUCUGUAGCUGGUCUGAGAGGACGACCAGCCACACUGGGACUGAGACACGGCCCAGACUCCUACGGGAGGCAGCAGUGGGGAAUUUUGGACAAUGGACGCAAGUCUGAUCCAGCCAUUCCGCGUGCAGGACGAAGGCCCUCGGGUUGUAAACUGCUUUUGUACGGAACGAAAAAGCUCUUACUAAUACUAGGAGUCCAUGACGGUACCGUAAGAAUAAGCACCGGCUAACUACGUG
Molecule: ribosomal RNA, 486 nt
Filed under: uncultured bacterium
Lineage: Bacteria
Description: bacterial SSU rRNA
Rfam family: Bacterial small subunit ribosomal RNA
Source: RNAcentral